UGCAUUCACUACUGUAAGUCACUCUGGAUAAGAGCGUCUGCUAAAUGACUUAAA
Molecule: non-coding RNA, 54 nt
Organism: Salmo salar (Atlantic salmon)
Lineage: Eukaryota; Metazoa; Chordata; Actinopteri; Salmoniformes; Salmonidae
Source: Rfam